Pipistrellus kuhlii (Kuhl's pipistrelle) is the source of this 1700-nucleotide long non-coding RNA. RefSeq lists it as uncharacterized. The transcript is spliced from 2 exons. The record is from RefSeq and is a predicted model, not a curated record. NCBI's taxonomy places the organism in Eukaryota, Metazoa, Chordata, Mammalia, Chiroptera, Vespertilionidae.
AUUCUUUUUUUAACACAAACAUAAGCUCCAUUUUCACCUGAUCAAAGAGGGCAGGUGGUAAGAGGCAUUUGCCAGAUCCAUGCAUCAAUGAGUUUGCAAGCAGUUAGACUAAGAUGGUGUGAUACAAACAGGACAAGUAAGUUAAAUAUAAUAUUUCAUGCAAAUUUUUCAUCUAUUAUAGCCCAACGGUGUCAAGCCUCUAAAGUUCUGAUUAUAGUUAUGACCUUGGCUUCCUUGUCUAACUUUAAACAAUUUUUUUAAUGCUUUUUUGUGCAUUUAUAUGAGUAUUUCCCAACCUGUGCAAAGGGGCACUGGCAUUAACUAAAAUAAUUAAUAGGAAUGUGAAUGCGUCAUAUUCUUGGUGGGUAGAGCCAUCAUUUCAUACCUAUAUUUAAGGUAUUGCAUGAUUAUUAUGUUUUGAAAUGUUGGCUGUUAGAUUGUAAUUGAGAUUUCAUUAUGAUGAAGGGAGAUUACAGUUUAGUCGUAUUUUGCCGCCUGCCUUUGAGAUAUCCUAAGAAUGAUUGUAAAAAUAUGUGGAAAAAGUUUGACUAGAAAUUGUGAUCCAUACUACUUAGUGUUCUGAUAGUAUAAAGCCCAGAAGGAACCUUGUGCGUUUGAAGUAAAAAAUAAAAUUUUAGGUUCUAAUAAACAUUUAAUUCUUACUUGAUCACUUACAAGCAUAUAUACACCUAUAUGUAUAUACACAUUCAUGUCAUUGCAAUUGAAUGAUCAAGUAGAAGAACUGUAGGGACCAAUUUUAUUAAAGGAACAAGAAGCCAACUACUUUUUUUGGAAUUAGCAUGCUCAUCUAAUUCCAAACAUCAACUUAACACCUUUUGUACUUAGUUUUAUUGGGACUAAUGAAUUUAAUUUUUUUAAGGUGUUUUUUUUUUUCUUGUUACAUCUGAGAUUUAAAAUUUUAAGACAACUAGCCUCCAAUUCCUAUUUUUGUAAGAUUUUUAAAACAGAAGAGUGUUCUGUGUUAUUGUACCGUAAUUUUGAUGUAUAUUGUUCCCAAAUCCAUUUGGAAAUUUAAUAUUUAUUAGUAACAAAUCUCUUUGUCUUCAUUUGAUAUGCAGUCUCACGUGUUGUAUUAUGGUAGGCCGAGAAAAAAUCCUGACGGCUCUUUAAGACGAAGAGCAUCCAGACAGCAAUGGGUCAGGUAACCCUGUGGCAGUGACACAAGCAAGCUGCAUUUAAAUAAAACCCUGGGACCAUUUGAGCAUAAGCCUCUUGUCUUAAAUGUAUUCCUCAUAGCAUUAAGGAGGCAAGACUUAAUGGGUCAGUUUUGAACAUCCUUACUUACAUUUGGUUUUUAAAAACGAGUCUCAGGGAAAGUGCUAAACCAAAAUCUCUUAUUUGACUUCUGUGUUUUCCAUAGUCUUUGUUUUAUUGAAAUGCUUUUAUAAUGAAAUAAUGUACUGUGACAGUUUGGUAAUUUUUCAAAUUUCUUAAUGUUUCUCUAUCAUGGCCUUUUAUUUCACAAGUUUCUGACGUCUGAAUUAUAUAUUUUUUUUUUUACCAAUUUAAUCUGAAAUGUUUAACUGUUUUAAAGUUAUAUGAGUAUUGUAAACUUCAGAGAAGAUGAAAAAUGUGUUUUCACAGAUCUAUAUUGUUGUGAACUGAGCUAAGUCUACUUUUUUGUGAGUUCAUUGUGAUGUGCUGGUGAAAAUAUAUGUAAUUAAAUAUGUUUAAAUGUG